UACGUAGGGGGCGAGCGUUGUCCGGAUUUAUUGGGCGUAAAGAGCUCGUAGGCGGCUUGGCAAGUCGGGUGUGAAACCUCCAGCUCAACCUGGAGACGCCACUCGAUACUGCCAUGGCUAGAGUCCGGUAGGGGACCACGGAAUUCCUGGUGUAGCGGUGGAAAUGCGCAGAUAUCAGGAGGAACACCGGUGGCGAAGGCGGUGGUCUGGGCCGGCACUGACGCUGAGGAGCGAAAGCGUGGGUAGCAAACAGG
This 254-nucleotide ribosomal RNA is filed under the name uncultured bacterium. Its description in RNAcentral is "partial 16S ribosomal RNA". It matches the Rfam family "Bacterial small subunit ribosomal RNA", at positions 524 to 776 of the family's 1533-position model. The record is from RNAcentral.